This 3219-nucleotide small RNA is filed under the name Pongo abelii (Sumatran orangutan). Its description in RNAcentral is "retained intron". Lineage: Eukaryota; Metazoa; Chordata; Mammalia; Primates; Hominidae. The record is from RNAcentral.
GCUUCCUGUUUGGGCAUGAGUCCGGCGCGUGUCGGGUUUUGAGCUGCCGCGAUCCCGGGACUGAGCUCCUUGGGAGCAGACAGCUGUCCUCUCUGGCAGAGGAGGAGCGCUCAGUAAAUGCUUGCUGGACGAAUAAAUGACUAGAUAAGAUAAGGCAGCUCCAGCCCCUGGAAGGCCAGAGACUUGCCAGUGUCCCACUAGCGGGCUCUUUGCAAGAAUCUCCCCAGGCCCGCCGCAGCCAGGUGGCGGCCGGCAGAGGGCGCUGCUCGGGCAUGGCGGAGGAGCGGCCGGGGGCCUGGUUCGGCUUCGGUUUCUGCGGCUUCGGGCAGGAGCUGGGCUCCGGACGCGGGCGCCAGGUGCACAGCCCCAGUCCGCUGCGGGCGGGCGUCGACAUCUGCCGCGUGAGCGCGAGCUGGAGCUACACAGCUUUCGUGACCCGUGAGCACUCCCCGCCCCGUCCCCACUUAUUCCAGCCGCGCUCCCCAGUCGCCUCCCCGCACCGCUGUGGCCAGUCCAGUGUGUCUCCCCCGUUCAGGCCGCCAGCCCCACAUUCUGGACUGGUCCCCAAUUCGGCCCCUUCCCAGGAACACCCCCCCACCCGCCUCCAUUCUGGCCACCCUGCUCCAAUCUAGACCAGCCCCCAGCGCCGCCCCAAAUUCUAGGCCCUCGGUGCAUGUCCCUUCCCCUCCCUAGCCCGCUCUCCGCCCCGCAGGUGGAGGCCGCGUGGAGCUGUCGGGCUCAGCCAGCGGCGCGGCGGGCGGCUGCAAGGACGCGUGGGCCUCAGAGGGGCUCCUCGUGGUGCUACGCGCCCGGCCGGGGCCGGAGGCGUUACUGCAGGUCUGGGCGCCCGAAUCGGCGUUGCGUGGGGAGCCCUUGUGGGCCCAGAACGUGGUGCCCGAGGCCGAAGGGGAAGACGAUCCGGCCGGUGAGGCCCAGGCUGGGAGGCUACCCCUGCUGCCCUGCGCCUGUGCCUACGUGAGCCCGCGGGCGCCCUUCUACCGGCCUCUGGCUCCGGAGCUGCGGGCACGCCAGCUGGAGCUGGGCGCCGAGCACGCGUUGCUGCUGGAUGCUGCUGGCCAGGUGUUCUCCUGGGGCGGGGGCAGGCAUGGACAGCUGGGCCAUGGGACCCUGGAGGCAGAGCUGGAGCCACGGCUGUUGGAGGCGUUGCAGGGCCUAGUCAUGGCUGAGGUGGCCGCGGGGGGCUGGCAUUCUGUGUGUGUGAGUGAGACUGGUGAUAUUUAUAUCUGGGGCUGGAAUGAAUCAGGGCAGCUGGCCCUGCCCACCAGGAACCUGGCAGAGGAUGGAGAGACUGUCGCAAAGGACGCCACAGAACUGAAUGAAGAUGGUUCUCAGGUGAAGAGAACGGGCGGGGCUGAGGAUGGAGCCCCUGCCCCCUUCAUAGCUGUCCAGCCCUUCCCAGCAUUACUGGAUCUCCCCUUGGGCUCAGAUGCAGUCAAGGCCAGCUGUGGAUCCCGGCACACAGCUGUGGUGACACGUGAGUGGGGCUGGGAGGCACUCCGCUCCUCUCGAGCUGGUGCCUAUGGAAGGGGGUGUGGUCGACGGAAAAACUUCUGUCUUAAGGCUUCUGUGGCUCAUACAGAGCAGCUACCUUGCUCCGUGGAUAAGCCCCAAGCCCCGUGUUGUUUCACAGUAGUUCCCCAGCCUGUCAGGCCCAGAAGAUUCUUCCUUCUGGUGGGAGGCUGAUGCUGUCUGUCCUCACCUGCACGGCCACAGACACAUUCCCUGCCCGCCGCUGCCUCUGACAGCAGGGACUGUCCAGUCUGGCAUGGAAGACUGUGGCGCUCGGUAGCGUGGCACACAGGAAGAUCCACCACUUUUUCCCUCGGGACCCUCUGCCAUGCCACAUGUGAUCAGCCAGUUGUCAAGAGAAUAUGUUGUUCCACGCCAGGCAGAUCUUGUGAGGAUUGUAAUAUGCAGCUGUGGGCUGUGCCAAGCCGGGCUGGACAGAUGUCUUGCCAAAGAACUGUAGUGACAACUAUCGAUUGUCCUUUUGCUUUCAGGAACAGGGGAGCUCUACACCUGGGGCUGGGGUAAGUAAAAGGAUUGUUUUUGUGACCCUGAAACCAAGGAGAAGACAGACCUGGGAGUAUAGGGCAGGUGACAAAGCCACCAAGACUAGAGGAAGCAGGGGCCUCGGCCAGGUCACUGGGAGGAGCAGGAGUGCUCCCUCCCUGGAGUUGGAACAGACCUAGGCACACUCAGUCUGAGACCAGACAGGGGAGACAUGGAGAGGAUAUCGGUACCACCCACCUACCUCUCUGAAAGACUGUCUUAAGGGAGUAUCCAACCAGCACUUACAAAGCAGCUUUUUGUGGAUGUGACAUUGGGUGGAGAAAAAGAUUCGAUGGAAGUGUGUGCCCUGAACAUCUUAGCUUGGGUGGCAGGGAAGUCUGGAGGAGCAUCUUGCCUGGAGUGGCUGGUCGCCACUAGCCUCUUGGGGAUCCCCAAGGUUGCCUGGCUCUGGGUCUCUUGGAUUCACAGAGCAGUGGGGCAUAAUCCCAGCACUUCAUUUGAUAGUCUGGGCCCCUUCCUGGAGGGAAAGAAGCAGCAAGACCCAGUGGAGACGAUGACAAAGGGGCUGAUUUCACUUUAGGUAAAUACGGACAGCUGGGCCACGAGGACACCACCAGCUUGGAUCGGCCCCGCCGUGUGGAAUACUUUGUAGAUAAGAAACUCCAAGUAAAGGCUGUCACCUGUGGGCCCUGGAACACCUACGUGUAUGCUGUGGAGAAAGGGAAGAGCUGAUGUGUGUAUGUAUAUGUAUAUACAACACCUGUGAAACCCCCAUUCAGGUCAAGGAAAACCAUUGCCUGCACCUCAAGGGCCCCAUAUUUGCCCCUCCCCAUCACAGUCCUGCCCUUCACCCUCAAGCACGGUCCUAAACUUGUCUGCACUUUAGAAACACCUGGAGAGCAUUGAAAACUCUGCUGCCUAAGGUCAGCAUCAAUGAAAACAAUGAAGUCAAUGAAACAAUGAAAUCAGAGCCUCUAGGUGUGUGGCCUGGAUAGUGGUAGAUUCAAAGCUCCGCCUACCUCAUCCCAGGUACAUUUGAUGUGCAGCUGAGAUUGGGGCACAUUCCAGGUCAUCUUCCUUUGUCAGUCACUUCCCUGCUUUUGUUAGAAUUUUACCAUUCUUGUAUGCAGCCUUACACGACAUAGUUGUGUUUGCUUUUGAGUGUUAGGUAAAUGGAAUCCUGUG